CGUGCAGGCGGCAGUCUAAGUCUGGCGUGAAAUAUCCCGGCUUAACCGGGGAAGGUCGUCGGAUACUGGGCAGCUCGAGGGCGGUAGAGGCGUGUGGAAUUCCGGGUGUAGUGGUGAAAUGCGUAGAGAUCCGGAGGAACACCAGUGGCGAAGGCGACACGCUGGGCCGCACCUGACGCUAAGACGCGACAGCAUGGGGAGCGAACAGGAUUAGAAACCCUGGUAGUCCAUGCCGUAAACGAUGCCAGCUGGGUGUUUGGAAGGGGAAACCCUUCUGGGUACCGAAGUCAACACGGUAAGCUGGCCGCCUGGGGAGUACGGUCGCAAGAUUAAA
Molecule: ribosomal RNA, 334 nt
Filed under: uncultured bacterium
Lineage: Bacteria
Description: bacterial SSU rRNA
Rfam family: Bacterial small subunit ribosomal RNA
Source: RNAcentral